This 177-nucleotide non-coding RNA is filed under the name Nelumbo nucifera (sacred lotus). Lineage: Eukaryota; Viridiplantae; Streptophyta; Magnoliopsida; Proteales; Nelumbonaceae. The record is from Rfam by way of RNAcentral.
AACACAUGAGAAGCUGCCCUUGGGAGGGGAUCAAUAGAGGGAAAUGACUGCUAAUAUCUCAUAGGCUGAGCAAAACGAUGAAUCCACCCAUGGAGAGGCUUGCAUCGGAUUAGCUAGCUGGUGAUGCAAUAGUUUACAGAAGCAACAACCAGUAGCUGGUCUAAGAGAACGAUCAGC